AUGAGAGUUGACACUGAGUGGGCCUUCUUCACAAUACCUGCUUUUGACUGGUUGGUUCGAGUUGCAGUCUUCUUAAGCCAAUAUCCAACACCAUCACUCAAGUCAAACAGUAAAUGCAGCCGACAAUCUGUGGACCUGGGUGAUUGUAUAUUGUGCUGUCAUGCCUGUGGCAUCAUCAAUAGCAGCUCUCAACAUGGAGCCCCUUUAAACAGGAUAAAAAUGACAAAGAUAACUAUAGUUAAAAAGUGGAGCAAGAAAAAAUGGAAUGAAGUUGGAGUAACUGCAUGCCUUGAAUUGGGCCACAAAUCUGGCCUGGAGCUUCCUAGCAGCCCAUAA
This 336-nucleotide long non-coding RNA is filed under the name Vulpes vulpes (red fox). Its description in RNAcentral is "lncRNA (ENSVVUG00000021156.1)". The record is from RNAcentral. Lineage: Eukaryota; Metazoa; Chordata; Mammalia; Carnivora; Canidae.